RNAcentral lists this ribosomal RNA (497 nucleotides) under uncultured bacterium. RNAcentral's name for it is "partial 16S ribosomal RNA". It matches the Rfam family "Bacterial small subunit ribosomal RNA", at positions 28 to 507 of the family's 1533-position model. The record is from RNAcentral.
GAUGAACGCUGGCGGCGUGCCUAAUACAUGCAAGUCGAGCGAACGGACGAGAAGCUUGCUUCUCUGAUGUUAGCGGCGGACGGGUGAGUAACACGUGGAUAACCUACCUAUAAGACUGGGAUAACUUCGGGAAACCGGAGCUAAUACCGGAUAAUAUUUUGAACCGCAUGGUUCAAAAGUGAAAGACGGUCUUGCUGUCACUUAUAGAUGGAUCCGCGCUGCAUUAGCUAGUUGGUAAGGUAACGGCUUACCAAGGCAACGAUGCAUCGCCGACCUGAGAGGGUGAUCGGCCACACUGGAACUUAGACACGGUCCAGACUCCUACGGGAGGCAGCAGUAGGGAAUCUUCCGCAAUGGGCGAAAGCCUGACGGAGCAACGCCGCGUGAGUGAUGAAGGUCUUCGGAUCGUAAAACUCUGUUAUUAGGGAAGAACAUAUGUGUAAGUAACUGUGCACAUCUUGACGGUACCUAAUCAGAAAGCCACGGCUAACUACGUG